Molecule: long non-coding RNA, 867 nt
Organism: Pipra filicauda (Wire-tailed manakin)
Lineage: Eukaryota; Metazoa; Chordata; Aves; Passeriformes; Pipridae
Exons: 3
Source: RefSeq, a predicted model, not a curated record
GUGGAUUCAUUAUCUGUAUUUAAAGAUGAAAUUAGCUGAAAGCAUAUUACAGCAUUUGAGUGUUCAAGUCCCAGUUCAUAAAAAUUUUAUUCUCACUUCAGUUAGAAUCUUCCUGCACUGUGUGCUGGAAAGGAACUUGCCCUGAGGCAUAAAUGCAUUGCACAGCUAAUUCCACACGUCUUCUAAUGAAUGAGAAUCAGCCACAUAUUCACGGCUCUGCAGCAAAGGUGGGGAUAGGUGAGAUGAGGCAUGCUAGCAGUGUGAAAAGGUGUCUCUUUCCUUUUCUUUGAGGCACAACCUUGUGAGACAGUGGAACCCACACAUCUUGAAGCAAACUCUGCUGAUUUGCUAAAGCUUAUUAAAAAGGAUUAGCACGCCUUCUAAUACUGAUCACGCUCGAUACGCACUGGUGCUUUAGACUGCUGAAAUGCUACUUCAAAAAGCUUCCACAAGGAAAGACCACGAAUCUCAGUUCUUCUGGAAUGUGCCUCCUGAAAAGAUGUAGUUUAGGACCACUACCUCUCCAUGUCCUCUGUGGGCACUUGAGAGAUCAGCCAAAAGGAGCAGACAACAGGCACAAGGAGAAGAGCUGAAGCCCACACUGAAGAGGAACACUAUGUGGCAAGCACAGCUUUAAAGAGAUGUUGCCAAGAUGGCACAGAUUUGGAAAAUAAAUUAAUUUUUGUACGGGAGGAAAAAUAAAAUAAAGAAAAGAACCCUCGAGAGACUAAACAAAUGGAAAAUGAAGGAAAACAGUAGAUAACAGAGCUGAUUCCUCUGAAGGAGAAAGGCGACUGAUCCACCAAAUCUCUUUGCUUCUCUCUUUAAUCUUCUCAAGAGGCAGCUUUUCUGGAAUGCAUAUUAAGA